RNAcentral lists this ribosomal RNA (510 nucleotides) under Nostoc sp. MEGCH1. RNAcentral's name for it is "bacterial SSU rRNA". It matches the Rfam family "Bacterial small subunit ribosomal RNA", at positions 224 to 748 of the family's 1533-position model. Lineage: Bacteria; Bacillati; Cyanobacteriota; Cyanophyceae; Nostocales; Nostocaceae. The record is from RNAcentral.
GAUGAGCUCGCGUCUGAUUAGCUAGUUGGUGUGGUAAGAGCGCACCAAGGCGACGAUCAGUAGCUGGUCUGAGAGGAUGAUCAGCCACACUGGGACUGAGACACGGCCCAGACUCCUACGGGAGGCAGCAGUGGGGAAUUUUCCGCAAUGGGCGAAAGCCUGACGGAGCAAUACCGCGUGAGGGAGGAAGGCUCUUGGGUUGUAAACCUCUUUUCUCAGGGAAUAAAAAAAUGAAGGUACCUGAGGAAUAAGCAUCGGCUAACUCCGUGCCAGCAGCCGCGGUAAUACGGAGGAUGCAAGCGUUAUCCGGAAUGAUUGGGCGUAAAGCGUCCGCAGGUGGCACUGUAAGUCUGCUGUUAAAGAGCAAGGCUCAACCUUGUAAAGGCAGUGGAAACUACAGAGCUAGAGUACGUUCGGGGCAGAGGGAAUUCCUGGUGUAGCGGUGAAAUGCGUAGAGAUCAGGAAGAACACCGGUGGCGAAAGCGCUCUGCUAGGCCGUAACUGACACUG